GCAGUCGAACGGCAGCACGGGAGCAAUCCUGGUGGCGAGUGGCGAACGGGUGAGUAAUAUAUCGGAACGUGCCCAGUCGUGGGGGAUAACGCAGCGAAAGCUGUGCUAAUACCGCAUACGAUCUAUGGAUGAAAGCGGGGGAUCGCAAGACCUCGCGCGAUUGGAGCGGCCGAUAUCAGAUUAGCUAGUUGGCGGGGUAAAAGCCCACCAAGGCGACGAUCUGUAUCUGGUCUGAGAGGACGACCAGCCACACUGGAACUGAGACACGGUCCAGACUCCUACGGGAGGCAGCAGUGGGGAAUUUUGGACAAUGGGCGCAAGCCUGAUCCAGCAAUGCCGCGUGCAGGAUGAAGGCCUUCGGGUUGUAAACUGCUUUUGUACGGAACGAAACGGUCUCUCCUAAUACGAGGGGCUAAUGACGGUACCGUAAGAAUAAGCACCGGCUAACUACGUGCCAGCAGCCGCGGUAAUACGUAGGGUGCAAGCGUUAAUCGGAAUUACUGGGCGUAAAGCGUGCGCAGGCGGUGAUGUAAGACAGAUGUGAAAUCCCCGGGCUCAACCUGGGACCUGCAUUUGUGACUGCAUCGCUAGAGUACGGUAGAGGGGGAUGGAAUUCCGCGUGUAGCAGUGAAAUGCGUAGAUAUGCGGAGGAACACCGAUGGCGAAG
Molecule: ribosomal RNA, 667 nt
Filed under: uncultured bacterium
Lineage: Bacteria
Description: bacterial SSU rRNA
Rfam family: Bacterial small subunit ribosomal RNA
Source: RNAcentral